This 74-nucleotide transfer RNA is filed under the name Marmota monax (woodchuck). Its description in RNAcentral is "tRNA.Ala". Lineage: Eukaryota; Metazoa; Chordata; Mammalia; Rodentia; Sciuridae. The record is from RNAcentral.
UUAGGGGUAUACUUCAGUGGUAGAGGACAUGCUUAGCAUGUGAGAGGCUCUGAGUUCAAUCCUCAGCACCAAAA